UAUAUGAAGUUCCGGUGCCCCGUUAGCAGGCGGGGAGAAUAGGGAAGCGGGUGUGAAUCCCGCGCGAUCCCGUCACUGUGAUAGAGCGUGUCAGCCCAUUAUGUCACUGGGAAGUGUAAAGCAUCCCGGGAAGGCGGACUGAUAUGGUAAGUUCUUCAGCCAGGAGACCUGCCGGUGCUUAA
RNAcentral lists this non-coding RNA (182 nucleotides) under bovine gut metagenome. The record is from RNAcentral.